Molecule: ribosomal RNA, 468 nt
Filed under: uncultured bacterium
Lineage: Bacteria
Description: partial 16S ribosomal RNA
Rfam family: Bacterial small subunit ribosomal RNA
Source: RNAcentral
GACGAACGCUGGCGGCGUGCUUAACACAUGCAAGUCGAACGGAAAGGCCCUGCUUUUGUGGGGUGCUCGAGUGGCGAACGGGUGAGUAACACGUGAGUAACCUGCCCUUGACUUUGGGAUAACUUCAGGAAACUGGGGCUAAUACCGGAUAGGAGCUCCUGCUGCAUGGUGGGGGGUGGAAAGUUUCGGCGGUUGGGGAUGGACUCGCGGCUUAUCAGCUUGUUGGUGGGGUAGUGGCUUACCAAGGCUUUGACGGGUAGCCGGCCUGAGAGGGUGACCGGCCACAUUGGGACUGAGAGACGGCCCAGACUCCUACGGGAGGCAGCAGUGGGGAAUAUUGCACAAUGGGCGGAAGCCUGAUGCAGCGACGCCGCGUGCGGGAUGACGGCCUUCGGGUUGUAAACCGCUUUCGCCUGUGACGAAGCGUGAGUGACGGUAAUGGGUAAAGAAGCACCGGCUAACUACGUG